GAUGAACGCUAGCGGCAGGCUUAAUACAUGCAAGUCGAGGGGCAGCAGGGUGUAGCAAUACAUCGCUGGCGACCGGCAAACGGGUGCGGAACACGUACACAACUUUCCUUUAAGUGGGGCAUAGCCCGAAGAAAUUCGGAUUAAUACCCCGUAACAUUAUGUUGUGGCAUCACAUUAUAAUUAUAGAUUUAUCGCUUAGAGAUGGCUGUGCGGCUGANAGGUAGUUGGCGGGGUAAAGGCCCACCAAGCCUUCGAUCAGUAACUGGUGUGAGAGCACGACCAGUCACACGGGCACUGAGACACGGGCCCGACUCCUACGGGAGGCAGCAGUAAGGAAUAUUGGUCAAUGGACGCAAGUCUGAACCAGCCAUGCCGCGUGAAGGAUGAAGGUCCUCUGGAUUUGUAAACUUCUUUUAUCUGGGACGAAACACUCGUUUUCUAACGAGCUUGACGGUACCAGAGGAAUAAGCACCGGCUAAC
RNAcentral lists this ribosomal RNA (480 nucleotides) under uncultured bacterium. RNAcentral describes it as "bacterial SSU rRNA". It matches the Rfam family "Bacterial small subunit ribosomal RNA", at positions 28 to 501 of the family's 1533-position model. The record is from RNAcentral.